UUACGGCCAUAUCAUGUUGAAACACCGGUUCCUCGUACGAUCACCGAAGUUAAGCAACGUCGAGCCUGGUCAGUACCUAGAUGGGUGACCGCUUGGGAAUACCAGGUGCUGUAA
RNAcentral lists this ribosomal RNA (114 nucleotides) under Acanthosepion pharaonis. Lineage: Eukaryota; Metazoa; Mollusca; Cephalopoda; Sepiida; Sepiidae. The record is from RNAcentral.